Molecule: ribosomal RNA, 752 nt
Filed under: uncultured Actinomyces sp.
Lineage: Bacteria; Bacillati; Actinomycetota; Actinomycetes; Actinomycetales; Actinomycetaceae
Description: bacterial SSU rRNA
Rfam family: Bacterial small subunit ribosomal RNA
Source: RNAcentral
GACGAACGCUGGCGGCGUGCUUAACACAUGCAAGUCGAACGCUGAUGGCCCAGCUUGCUGGGUUGGAUGAGUGGCGAACGGGUGAGUAACACGUGAGUAACCUGCCCCCUUCUUUGGGAUAACGGUCGGAAACGGCUGCUAAUACCGGGUAUUCACUGUCCUUCGCAUGGGGGGUGGUGGAAAGGUUUUUUCUGGUGGGGGAUGGGCUCGCGGCCUAUCAGCUUGUUGGUGGGGUGAUGGCUUACCAAGGCUUUGACGGGUAACCGGCCUGAGAGGGUGACCGGUCACAUUGGGACUGAGAUACGGCCCAGACUCCUACGGGAGGCAGCAGUGGGGAAUAUUGCACAAUGGGCGAAAGCCUGAUGCAGCGACGCCGCGUGAGGGAUGGAGGCCUUCGGGUUGUAAACCUCUUUCGCUCAUGGUCAAGCCGCAACUUGGGUUGUGGUGAGGGUAGUGGGUAAAGAAGCACCGGCUAACUACGUGCCAGCAGCCGCGGUAAUACGUAGGGUGCGAGCGUUGUCCGGAAUUAUUGGGCGUAAAGGGCUUGUAGGCGGUUUGUCGCGUCUGCCGUGAAAUCCUCUGGCUUAACUGGGGGCGUGCGGUGGGUACGGGCAGGCUUGAGUGCGGUAGGGGAGACUGGAACUCCUGGUGUAGCGGUGGAAUGCGCAGAUAUCAGGAAGAACACCGGUGGCGAAGGCGGGUCUCUGGGCCGUUACUGACGCUGAGGAGCGAAAGCGUGGGGAGCGAACAGG